Molecule: long non-coding RNA, 1707 nt
Filed under: Homo sapiens (human)
Lineage: Eukaryota; Metazoa; Chordata; Mammalia; Primates; Hominidae
Description: HSALNT0295576
Source: RNAcentral
GGCCUUUCCCUACUCCUUUAAUAAAAGUAGACAUUUUCUCUCAAGAUCUCAGAGUGUACUGUCCUUAUCUCUAUGAAAGCACUUGCCAUGCUAUAUUGUAUUUAAUGCAAUGUCUGUACUUCCAAAUAGACUAUAACUAUCUAAGGGCAGGAACUAAAGUAUCUCAUUUAAUGUGAUCAUGUGUUUGUUGCAUGGAUAAAUGAAAUAAGAAGGGAUUCCUGGCUGCUUCUUCCAGGCCUGUCUCCCUUUGUCUUUAAGCCCUGGAGGAGUCAACCCUACUUUGGCAAAAAACAUUUAGCAUGUCCCCUCCUCUCUCUGAGUACUGCUACCUAUCCUAUAUCCCAAGGCUACCAAAUGCAUAUUUUAAACUUUACAGAAAAUACCAUGUUAUUUAGUAUUUUACCAUUUUUAGGGUAGGGCAUAGGAAUGUGUUCCUAUCUCUCCUGUAUUUUUUCUAACCAAUGUUUUCUCUAAUUUUUAAACCCUUUCAUGGAGGCGUUUUGUAUUUUAGGUGCUGUCAUUCAGAGUCCACAGGAUGGAUGAAUGGAUAUGAAAAUGAACAAACGUGUGACACAACACUGCAUGAUUUACCGGCAAUGACUUUCUGAUCAAGCCUGAACAUCCCAAGACAACCAUGCUGUGAAGAAGUCGGUCUACCCCACUGGAGAAGGAAAGGCUGUUCAGGGAAGUGAAGAUGCCCCAGCUGACAGUCACCACCUGCCAGACAUAAAAGAUGGAAAUUCAUUUCUGCUAAAGAGAAAGAAAAAAUUGGAAGACAGGGUGAAGGUGAACAGGCCCAUUAUAAGAAAGAAACAAAAAUCUAUAUUCUGUCUACAAGGAAACGAGAGAGAGAAAGAGAGAGAAGAAAGAAGUUCCAGGAUUCUAAUGUACCAAAGGGAUCUCCUUUUUCUUGUUUUGUUCUGAAAAUUUCACCAAAAGAGCACAGGAGAACAUCUUGGCUAAUUCAUUGGCGAUGAUGUAAGAAAACUGAGAGAAAUGAAAGAAAUGAAGAAUUACUGCUGCAGAUAAUAUACAGCCUUGAGGAAAGAAAGGCUUUUAAGAUUAUAGAUAUAAAGGCUAUUGCUGUAUUCUGGGAUAAAAGAAAGUCUGAUGCAGGGAAAGGGGAAGUUGGAAAAACUGGAAAAAGAAAAAAGAAGAAAAGAAAAAAAGGACUGGAAAGACAUUGGUGAAUAGAAAGAUGAAAAGGGUGAAGAAAAAAAUGAUGAUGGUCAAUAGGGUGGUUUUAAAAGAGGCUUUUGUUUUAUUAAUUUGUUUUUGUGUGAGUGUGUGUGUAUGUGUUUGUUUUUUGCCUAAAAGUAUUUAACUCCGCAUUACACCACUGAUUUCAAAGAAAAAAAGCUGAAAUGUAAGAUCAUAUGAUUUGUUUUUAAACUGAACACUGUAUACUGUCUUUUUAUUUUUGCAAAAUUAAUGUAGUAUCCAGUGUGUCUUUAGAUAACCCUGUCCUUAAUGAUAUUUUCAAUAGCCACUAACCUUGCCUGGUACUGUUUCGGGGUUUAAACUAGAACAGAAAUUUAAGGCAGGCUUUAUUAGUGCAUAGUACAAAUCAAUUACAUAUAUAUGGAGAUAUUAUUUUUCCCUCUUCAAUUGUUUUUCAUGCAGCUUACCCAAUAUAAUUGUUCUGUUAGUUGUACACUACUCUGUGAUAGCAAAUAAUAAUAAUAAAAUAAUUAUGAUGAUAUUGCC